GGUCUUACUCCACCAAAUGAAAAUUACUGAUUGCCAAAUGUUAGAAGAAAUCAUAGCUUCUACAAGUGAUGAAGUGAUGGAUGGCAUUAUUUUCUCCAGCCUUUGGUAUUUAGAACUUGGUGGUCUUCCGAGCCUAUCAAGGUUCUGUUCAGGGAAUUAUACGCUUGGAUUCCCUUCCUUGGAAAAGGUAAUCAUGAGACAAUGUCCAAAGAUGGAAAUAUUUUCUAAGAGAGAGUUAAGCACAUCAAAGCUGAAAGGAGUACAAUCAACUGAAGGUGAAUAUGUAGGACGUUGGGAAGGCAACCUUAAUGCCACUAUUCAGCAGUUGUUUAUAGAAAAGAAUGACCAAAAUUGUGAAGAAGAGACUGCAGUUUCCUUUUAGUUGCCCAAACUGGAACAAGGCAAGAUAUUGUUGUACUUGUGAGACACUUAAAGGCUCAUUUUCCUUCUAUCAAAGUUGGAAAUCAGAAGGUUGAAUUGCUCUACUUAGUAUGAUGAUUUUGCUGAGUUGACAGCCACCUUCCUUUGAAUCCAAAUGGUUCUCAUUUUCUAGUUUUCAUAUGUAACUUAAAUUGUCAGUAUUGAAUAUUUAGGAGCAUGGAACUGUAAAUAUGCGAGGAUGUAAUCUUUUGUUUGUAAGGUCCAUCAGCCAAGUCUCCCUUGUUUCAAUAACCUCGAAAGAAAUGUACAUUUUCCAUCGACAUCUUAAAAUCUCACCUUAUUUACAUUUCAAUCAUAUAAAUGAAAGUACAUCCUUUUGCUGAUAA
Molecule: RNA transcript, 767 nt
Organism: Theobroma cacao (cacao)
Lineage: Eukaryota; Viridiplantae; Streptophyta; Magnoliopsida; Malvales; Malvaceae
Gene name: disease resistance protein At4g27190-like
Source: RefSeq, a predicted model, not a curated record